AUGGCGCUCGUCACGGGGGAGCGAGGCGUGCGGGCUGGGCCGCAGCGGGGCAAGACGGACGUGAAAGCAACUGACCCGGGAAAUCAGGAGGAACCAGUACGUUCGCGGAUUGGGCCGGCCGCCGCGACGCCUUCCUCCGAGAUGGAAGCCACCGAGGGGCCCGGACGACCCCGGAGAGCCCGUCCCACGAUGCGCACGGACUCCUCCGAAGGGCUCUUCCCUCUGGAGCAUCGCCCAGGGGCGACCCAGGAGCUCUGGGAAAGAAAGAAGACGUCACCGCCCGCCGAAGGGAGAACGGGGCGGGGGCUCGUGCCCUCUCCCCUUUCAGAAGGCUCGCCGACAACCCGGGGGACCCCGGGGGGUCGGGGGAAUGCCGACGGGACCCCGAGCCAGGGGAGACCGGAGAAGCCCGGCUCGGGCCCCACCUGGCGAGUCUGAGCCGGGGGCUCGUUCCGGGCGGGGAACGCGUCCGCUGAUUCUGUUCUCUUCUACUCUCCCUAGCGCUUAUUAAGCGCUCAGUAAAUACCACUGAGUGAGAGGGGAGGAGAAGGUGCUCACCGAGGGAAAUUCAAAUAUUAGGAGGGCGCUGAAGAGGUGAAGAGAGCUGUGAUCUGACCCGACCACCCCCACCCGAUCGAAGUUCUACCGAAGGACCGUCUCCUCCAAGAGGCCCUCCCGGAAUAAGCCCUGAGGCACAGAGAAGUGAAGUGACUUGCCCAAGAUCACACAGCAGAGCGGCAGAGCAAGGAGCCGGAGAGCCCUGCUGGGAUAGAAAAGGACCGGAGGGUGGGGUGAAGUCAAGCCUCUGUUACGAUUCUUGCUCCCCGCGGUUAUUGAGAACUCAAAACGGGCUGAACACCGUUCGAAACGCCGAGGUCGUUACGGGAGACUGUGAGCUUGUAGACUCUAGAUCGUAAUCUUGCCGUGAGCGGGGAAUGUGUCGGUCAUACUGUCAUGUGGUACUCGACCUAGCAAUCGGUCCAGUGCUCUGCGCACUGUCCGCGCUCAAUUAAAUACGCCUCAUUCAUUCAAUCGUAUUUAUUGAGCGCUGACUGUGCGCAGAGCCCUGGACUGAGCGCUUGGGAAGUACAGUCCAGCAACAAAUAGAGACAACCCCCGCCCACAUCGGGCUCACGGUCUAGGAGGGGGAGACGGACAGCAGCGGAAGUAGAGAGGCAUCGAUGGCAUCAUUAUAAAUAAAUCGGAUCAUAGAGAUACACACGCCAUUAAUAAGAAAUAAAUAGAAUUAGUAUAAAUACGUACACAGAUACCCGAGUGCCGUGGGGAGGGGGAGGGGGGGAGAGCGGCGGGGGGGA
Molecule: long non-coding RNA, 1316 nt
Filed under: Ornithorhynchus anatinus (platypus)
Lineage: Eukaryota; Metazoa; Chordata; Mammalia; Monotremata; Ornithorhynchidae
Description: lncRNA (ENSOANG00000046251.1)
Source: RNAcentral